RNAcentral lists this ribosomal RNA (459 nucleotides) under uncultured bacterium. RNAcentral describes it as "partial 16S ribosomal RNA". It matches the Rfam family "Bacterial small subunit ribosomal RNA", at positions 338 to 795 of the family's 1533-position model. The record is from RNAcentral.
CCUACGGGGCGCAGCAGUGAGGAAUAUUGGUCAAUGGCCGGAAGGCUGAACCAGCCAAGCCGCGUGAAGGACGAAGGUGCCAAGCAUUGUAAACUUCUUUUGUCAAGGGACAAAAUCAGGCUCGAGAGCCUGACCGAGGGUACUUGAAGAAAAAGCAUCGGCUAACUCCGUGCCAGCAGCCGCGGUAAUACGGAGGAUGCGAGCGUUAUCCGGAUUUAUUGGGUUUAAAGGGUGCGUAGGCGGGCUGUUAAGUCAGCGGUAAAAGCCCGGGGCUAAACCCCGGCGAGCCGUUGAAACUGGCUGGCGUGAGAUGGCGGGAGGGAUGCGGAAAGCGGAGUGGAGCGGGUAAAUGCUUAGAUAUUGCGCAGAACUCCGAUUGCGAAGGCAGCAUACCGGCGGCGAUCUGACGCUGAGGCACGAAAGCGUGGGUAUCGAACAGGAUUAGAUACCCUUGUAGUC